UACGGAGGGUGCGAGCGUUGUCCGGAAUCACUGGGCGUACAGGGCGCGUAGGUGGCGCGGGCAGUCAACGGUGAAAGUUCGGGGCUCAACCCUGAAUCGGCCGUCGAUACUCCCGGGCUUGAGCACUGUAGAGGCAGAUGGAAUUCCGGGUGUAGCGGUGGAAUGCGUGGAGAUCCGGAAGAACACCGGUGGCGAAGGCGGUCUGCUGGGCAGUAGCUGACACUGAGGCGCGACAGCGUGGGGAGCAAACAGG
This 253-nucleotide ribosomal RNA is filed under the name uncultured bacterium. RNAcentral's name for it is "partial 16S ribosomal RNA". It matches the Rfam family "Bacterial small subunit ribosomal RNA", at positions 524 to 776 of the family's 1533-position model. The record is from RNAcentral.